RNAcentral lists this ribosomal RNA (442 nucleotides) under uncultured bacterium. RNAcentral's name for it is "partial 16S ribosomal RNA". It matches the Rfam family "Bacterial small subunit ribosomal RNA", at positions 338 to 795 of the family's 1533-position model. The record is from RNAcentral.
CCUACGGGAGGCAGCAGUGGGGGAUAUUGCACAAUGGGGGAAACCCUGAUGCAGCGACGCCGCGUGGGCGAAGAAGUAUUUCGGUAUGUAAAGCCCUAUCAGCAGGGAAGAAGAAAUGACGGUACCUGAGUAAGAAGCACCGGCUAAAUACGGGCCAGCAGCCCCGGUAAACAGUAUGGUGCAAGCGUUAUCCGGAAUUACUGGGGGUAAAGGGAGCGCAGGAGGCAAGGCAAGUCUGGUGUGAAAGCCCGCGGCCCAACCGCGGGACUGCAUUGGGAACUGACGGGCUGGAGUGCCGGAGAGGUAGGCGGAAUUCCUAGUGUAGCGGUGAAAUGCGUAGAUAUUAGGAGGAACACCAGUGGCGAAGGCGGCCUACUGGACGGUGACUGACGCUGAGGCUCGAAAGCGUGGGGAGCAAACAGGAUUAGAUACCCGUGUAGUC